Long non-coding RNA from Dermacentor silvarum, 380 nucleotides. RefSeq lists it as uncharacterized. The transcript is spliced from 3 exons. NCBI's taxonomy places the organism in Eukaryota, Metazoa, Arthropoda, Arachnida, Ixodida, Ixodidae. The record is from RefSeq and is a predicted model, not a curated record.
UUCCUACAGAACCAUUGCGGUAUAUAGUGGAAAUUUUAGUACCGAUGGAACGCCAGCUGUUGUGAUGAAUUAUGAUUUUCCAGGACAAACACAGAAACUUUAUUUCAGGCUGAAUUAUACUACGCCAGAAACGUACAACUGCAGUGUUUUCGUCACGACUAUUAAAACUAUAACGCAGACAUGGUGGUGUGAUAUGUACGUACGAGGAGGACUUACAGAAUGUACUUUUCCACCUGUGGAAUGCGAAAAUGCCUUCCUUAGAGCUUGCCCGAACGGAAGAUAUACAAAGUACUACAGUUGGAACUGCACUGCAGCCUAUACGAAUAUUACAAGUGAUCUCUAAAUGUGCGAGAUAAAUUACUUUCAUCAUUGCUUCUUCA